UGACGCCAUGUUUUAUCUGAAGGGGUGGCUUGCUGUUCUGGGCUGAUACGCUUGGAUCUAUUUAUAUUUUUUCAAAGCUCAAAAAAUGGGCAAAUGCAUAUGGUGGUCUAUUUGCACCAUCCCCAUACUUGGAAGAAAGAGCUAAGAAAGGAUUACCACUGAGCACGACAACGUCCCCUCCAAACGCUUCAAUAUCACGCAUGUAAAUGUUUCUGCUCACCUGCUUGCUUGCCCUUCAAGCCAUCUUGUCCAAUGCAAAAGAAACACACCAUGAUCAUCAUGGCUAAUUCACAGAGAUAAUUUUUUAUACUCUAAUAUAUCUUUCGUAAUUCUAUUACUUGAAUCCAUGUGGUUUGAACUGGUAGGAAUUAUGGAAAUUUUGUGUGAGUGAAGCUUAUAAACUGUUUCUUUCAGUAUUUUCUCUGAAAUAAAUUCUUAAGGUGGUGAGAAGCUUCUGGAAUGUUAUCACACCUGCAUUGCCACCA
Long non-coding RNA from Dendrobium catenatum, 485 nucleotides. RefSeq lists it as uncharacterized. The record is from RefSeq and is a predicted model, not a curated record. The transcript is spliced from 2 exons. Lineage: Eukaryota; Viridiplantae; Streptophyta; Magnoliopsida; Asparagales; Orchidaceae.